GUCUUUGUAGUAUAUGAAAUACCCUGGUCUUGUAAACCAGAAAAGGAGGACCGCCCCCUCCCCAAGACU
RNAcentral lists this transfer RNA (69 nucleotides) under Sus scrofa (pig). RNAcentral describes it as "tRNA-Thr". Lineage: Eukaryota; Metazoa; Chordata; Mammalia; Artiodactyla; Suidae. RNAcentral also lists the same sequence under 2 other names. The record is from RNAcentral.